RNAcentral lists this unclassified non-coding RNA (329 nucleotides) under soil metagenome. RNAcentral's name for it is "partial contains 5.8S ribosomal RNA, internal transcribed spacer 2, and large subunit ribosomal RNA". The stretch from base 1 to 120 matches the Rfam family "5.8S ribosomal RNA", at positions 35 to 154 of the family's 154-position model. The record is from RNAcentral.
GAUGAAGAACGCAGCGAAAUGCGAUAAGUAAUGUGAAUUGCAGAAUUCAGUGAAUCAUCGAAUCUUUGAACGCACAUUGCGCCCCUUGGUAUUCCGAGGGGCAUGCCUGUUCGAGCGUCAUUAUAACCCCUCAAGCUCAGCUUGGUGUUGGGGCCUGCUGCACUGGCAGCCCUUAAAAUCAGUGGCGGCGCCAUCUGGCUCUAAGCGUAGUAAUUCUUCUCGCUAUGGAGUCCUGGUGGAUGCUUGCCAUCAACCCCCAAUUUUUCUAUGGUUGACCUCGGAUCAGGUAGGGAUACCCGCUGAACAUAGGCAUAUCAAUAAGCGGAGGA